AUACGGAGGGUCCAAGCGUUAUCCGGAAUCAUUGGGUUUAAAGGGUUCGUAGGCGGGUCAAUAAGUCAGAGGUGAAAUCUUGCAGCUUAACUGUAAAAUUGCCUUUGAUACUGUUGACCUUGAAUUACUGUGAAGUGGUUAGAAUAUGUAGUGUAGCGGUGAAAUGCUUAGAGAUUACAUAGAAUACCGAUUGCGAAGGCAGAUAACUAACAGUAUAUUGACGCUGAUGAACGAAAGCGUGGGUAGCGAACGGGAUUAGAAACCCCAGUAGUCC
RNAcentral lists this ribosomal RNA (274 nucleotides) under uncultured bacterium. RNAcentral's name for it is "partial 16S ribosomal RNA". It matches the Rfam family "Bacterial small subunit ribosomal RNA", at positions 523 to 796 of the family's 1533-position model. The record is from RNAcentral.